AUUGAACGCUGGCGGCAGGCUUAACACAUGCAAGUCGAGCGGGGUGAUGGUGCUUGCACUAUCACUUAGCGGCGGACGGGUGAGUAAUGCUUAGGAAUCUGCCUAUUAGUGGGGGACAACAUCUCGAAAGGGAUGCUAAUACCGCAUACGUCCUACGGGAGAAAGCAGGGGAUCACUUGUGACCUUGCGCUAAUAGAUGAGCCUAAGUCGGAUUAGCUAGUUGGUGGGGUAAAGGCCUACCAAGGCGACGAUCUGUAGCGGGUCUGAGAGGAUGAGCAGCCACACUGGGACUGAGACACGGCCCAGACUCCUACGGGAGGCAGCAGUGGGGAAUAUUGGACAAUGGGGGGAACCCUGAUCCAGCCAUGCCGCGUGUGUGAAGAAGGCCUUAUGGUUGUAAAGCACUUUAAGCGAGGAGGAGGCUCUUUUGGUUAAUACCCAGAAUGAGUGGACGUUACUCGCAGAAUAAGCACCGGCUAACUCUGUGCCAGCCGCCGCGGUAA
This 503-nucleotide ribosomal RNA is filed under the name uncultured bacterium. RNAcentral describes it as "partial 16S ribosomal RNA". It matches the Rfam family "Bacterial small subunit ribosomal RNA", at positions 30 to 523 of the family's 1533-position model. The record is from RNAcentral.